AUUAGAUCUAUGAGAGUUUGUUUCUAAGGUAUCUUAAAGAGUUUAAGGAAUACUACUUUUAACUUUCCAAAGAAUCACAAUAUGAUUGUAACCCGAUAUGCUAUGUUCUUGAAAAAAUAAUUUAUCCAAGAUGAAAAUAAUGGAAGAAAAAUUGAGCUCAAAGAGAGUUUCUAAAAAGCAAUGACUCAUAAAACCUAUAGGACCUAUUCAUAAUUGAGUCAGUACAUGUAGUACCUCCUCCACCUCA
RNAcentral lists this long non-coding RNA (247 nucleotides) under Elaeis guineensis (African oil palm). RNAcentral's name for it is "long non-coding RNA (EGUI_LNC050244)". Lineage: Eukaryota; Viridiplantae; Streptophyta; Magnoliopsida; Arecales; Arecaceae. The record is from RNAcentral.